CUCUGCUCGAACCCCACCAUAUCGGAGAUCGGAGACACGUCGCCGGCCGGCUGGGAUCCUCCGUCGCUAGUUGUCGCCGUUCUAGUUCCUCCCUAGAAGCCACCUAUCCAUCCCCGAUCGGCCGCCGUCGGGCUACCGCGGUCGACGCUCGACGGAUUAGUCUGAUGGCGCCGGAGACGAGAGCCGGCGACCAGAUAGCAGGAGGAAGGGGAGGGAGGUCCGCGCUUUGGGGACGGCGCUCUUCGGCGUUCUGGAGCCGAAGAGAGGAAGUGGGGGGAGGCGCCGGCCGGUGGCCACAAACUGACCCCAAGGCAAACUGGCAAAUACGUAUAUGCCACUUAUGGCUGCUUUUUUUGGUCAGAUGGUGUAUUUGAAAUGUCAGAAUUUGGUGUGCAAAUUGUUCUGAAUCUUACUGAGAUGUUCUUAACUGAGCAUGCCUCUGAUUUCGAAAUACUGGCUGGGCUUGCUGUAGCUGUUGUUACUUAUGAAUCCAAGACCUUUGCUAUUGAAGUUCAGAUGAAGGUGGCGCACAACCUCGGACUCUGUGUAGGGCAAGGUAUCUAGUACUGUGGCAUCUCAGCAGGGACAGUUGGGCUAAGAAAGGAUUCCCAAGGCAUGUUGCACUUCCAGUCAUCUGAAGAGUCUGCUCCUAAAUCGAAUGGGAAACUCAUGCCGGCAUUUACAUCUGCAGAAGAAUCAGCCAGAAAUCCAGUGAUCUGCUGCUCAGGCUGCCCAAACUGCAUGUUGAAGAGCGGCGGUGCAGUGUGCACGGGCUUCUGUGAUGGCUGUGUUUGGAAUGGCAAGAUGGUGGGACCUUCCAGUUCCAGAGAUGGAUUGCAGUUAAAGCUUAUGACCUUGCAUGAAGAGCCAUCCUGUGUGUUGCUGGGUUUCUGAAGCUGCUGCUGUCCCUGGAACCCAUGUUUGCUGUUGAACUGACUUGCUGGUGCCUCUGCAACUUGCAAUGAGCAGGAGGAGCUCUCCGAAGCAAAAUGUGAAGCUUGCACCGGUUGCAUUGCGGAGAAGAGAUCUUGCUCAGUUGUCCCAGGCAAUGGAGGCCCCCAAGUGUGAGAAAGCGCCAUUUGCUGUGCCAUCGAACUGGUCUUCUUGAAGAUCUUACAUAUGGUCCAAGAGUCCUGUUUUGGGCAACAGAAAAGUGACCUUAAGAAUUCGACAUAACAUUUGAAUUUAGCUCUGUAACUACAUAAUAUGAUUGAAAUGCUUACGUUGAGCGGGAUGUUCUUGUCGAUUGGUCUCUUGGGAAGUGAUGGGUCGGUGAGCGAAGGAAGCCUGAACUCAUGCAUCAUCCAGUCAGUUUUGAUCCCUCUUGCUGCCCUGCCUCUGUAGAAGACAAGGGACUUCUUCAGGCCUAUGCACCUGGUGCCUUCGGAGGAGUAGAUCGGCCUGUCUGUUCCUGUGGCUUUCCAGAACCCAGCUGCUGUGACUCGGUUUGGCCUCGCGCUGUUGCGAUAUUUCCGGUCCCUCGGGCAGUAGAAGUACCAGUCCGUCUCACCGGUGCUGGCAAGCUCUGUCGUUGAGAAGGGAUAUGGAAGUUAGACUUUGCAGCAGUAAGGUGAGUAACCCAUCUAUGUACUGUAGGUUAGCUUGUGAUGAGACGAUGGUCAAUACUACUACUGAUUUCGUUCAACUGAACCUCCAGUG
Triticum dicoccoides is the source of this 1659-nucleotide long non-coding RNA. RefSeq lists it as uncharacterized. The record is from RefSeq and is a predicted model, not a curated record. The transcript is spliced from 3 exons. NCBI's taxonomy places the organism in Eukaryota, Viridiplantae, Streptophyta, Magnoliopsida, Poales, Poaceae.